RNAcentral lists this transfer-messenger RNA (369 nucleotides) under Bacteroidia. RNAcentral describes it as "UBA2475 sp016787785 Standard tmRNA". It matches the Rfam family "transfer-messenger RNA". Rfam says of the family: Bacterial tmRNA, also known as 10Sa RNA or SsrA, is named for its dual tRNA and mRNA-like properties. Its role is to liberate the mRNA from a stalled ribosome. To accomplish this part of the tmRNA is used as a reading frame that ends in a translation stop signal. RNAcentral also lists the same sequence under 1 other name. The record is from RNAcentral. Lineage: Bacteria; Pseudomonadati; Bacteroidota.
GGGCCCGACCGGUUUUGACAGUAAGCGCAUCGGAUAGGUAAGCAUGUAGAGCGUUGUAAGACGAGCUCUUUAAACUGAACUUUCAAAACUUUUAUUUGGCGAAGAUAACUCUUACGCUAUGGCUGCUUAAUUUAGAAUUAAGUGUCCUUUGCUUUCCAGGGAGCUAAGUUGCUCUGCGCCUUGGGUAAAGCAUCAUAAAUGUGCAAUUUGUUUUACAAAUGUUACUAUGUAAAACAAUAUUAGUAACUAAGUUAAAGAUUGGUUUGAUAUAACGCCUGCCUUUAGCCUACAACCAAGUUAUAACUAAACGUGUAGAAAGCUUAUUUUUUCCUUAUUUGGACGAGAGUUCGAAUCUCUCCGGGUCCACGU